This 215-nucleotide long non-coding RNA is filed under the name Linum usitatissimum (flax). Its description in RNAcentral is "long non-coding RNA (LUSI_LNC000167)". The record is from RNAcentral. Lineage: Eukaryota; Viridiplantae; Streptophyta; Magnoliopsida; Malpighiales; Linaceae.
CUGUAUUGUGUAAUCCGAGUUUUGAUUGAAGGAGGGGUUUAGGGUUUUUCUCUUCCAACAAUUUGCAAAAGGAAAAGAGAGUUUGAGGCAGCCGGCGGCAGCUCCUAGACUUCGUCUCCUACCUGACCAAGCUUACACUUGCCGAGUUCCUCUCCUCAUGGACAACAUGGAAGUCCUUGCAAUGGACUUAGCGACUCCGGACGUCUCCGUCUCUU